AUGAAAUCUGACGAUUUAAGCUAUCUCCAGAGAAUCCUAACCAAUGGCAUCAUUCAUCACUCGAGGAGGUUCUUGCUCGUAAUCGAUGACGCGCAGGAGGAUAUAUGCCGAGAAGAUUGCCAUGAAUGGAAGAGUUUCCUCGCCCCACUGAAAUGUGCCAAAUCAGGUAGUAUGGUUCUGGUGACCACAAGGUCUCUCAAGGUUGCUGAUCAUGUUGGUACAGUGAAGCCUUUCGUGUUGGAGGGCUUACCUGAAGGAGUUCUUUGGGAGUUCUUUAGGAUGCAUGCGUUCGGUUCUGAUAAUUCUGACCGCAAUACAGUGUUAGCGAGCAUUGGCAGAAGUAUGGUAUCAAGGUUAAACGGUUCUCCUCUGGGUGCCAAAAUGCUUGGACGACUAUUAAGCCUGAAACAUGAUCCAAUAUACUGGAGAAACAUCUUGGAAAGUGAGUUGUGGAAGCUACAUCACGAGGAGAAGGAAAUGAUGUUCACACAUGAAGGGGAGGAGAAGAACAGCAUCAGCCCAGCCCUUAAGUUGAGCUACCAAUAUCUGCCAUUCCAUCUGAAGCGCUGCAUGUCCUUCUCUUCUGUGUACCCAAGGGACUAUGAGUUUGACGCGGAGACACUAGUGGAUUGCUGGGUAGCAGCGGGCUUAGUGUUGCCUUAUGGAGGAAUGCUUGCACUGGAUGUGGGCCAUGGGUAUUUCCAGCAGCUUGUGAAUCGAUCCUUCUUUCAGAAAGCUCCAACAUCUUCCAGAUAUAUCAUGCAUGAUUUGGUGUACGCUAUGGCACAGCAAAUUUCCAGCAAUGAAUGCUUUGUGAUAAACAAUAGAGAAGACUUAUCGAGAAUUCCUCCCAAUGUUCGUCAUUUAUCAGUUCUUGGCAGCAGUGGACUGAAAAGUAGUGAUCUAGAAAGCCUGCACAUGUACAAGACGUUGCGUUCUGUUAUAUGCAUCAGUAUGGACUCUGAUAUUGUCACUACUUCUGUUGCUGAAACACGGUUCAGUGAUCUCGUUAACAUUCGAAUGCUCAGAUUCAUAUCCUGUCAGCUGAAGGAGCUACCUGAAAAUGUGGGCAACCUAAUACAUCUUCGCUAUCUUGACAUCUCUGCCUGCGAUUUUGACAAGUUUCCGGAUUCUUUUUGGCGUCUCUAUAAGCUGGAAAUUUUAGAUGCUCGAAACUGCAAAAUCAGAGAUGUUCCCAAGGGUAUCAUCAAGUUAGUAAACUUGCAGAGAGUUAGACUGAAGGAUGAUCUUAUGAGACAACUCGGUGUGUGCCGAGUAUAG
Molecule: ribosomal RNA, 1281 nt
Filed under: Triticum aestivum (bread wheat)
Lineage: Eukaryota; Viridiplantae; Streptophyta; Magnoliopsida; Poales; Poaceae
Description: partial small subunit ribosomal RNA
Source: RNAcentral